AUUGGCUGUGUCGGCAACAGGCAAGCUGUGGGCUCUCCCACAAUGCACUGCUCUGCGAUCCCGAGGCACAGCCGCUCCCGCAGACAUGGAGACAGGUCAGGCCGUGCCAUCUCCACAGCAGCCUCACCACCAGCUCUAAAAGAGGACUAAGACCAUUGCAGUUUGACUAAGGUCACAGAGAACGUAAGCAGUAGAGUUGAAAUCCACAUCAGCCUUCUAUGGGAGCCAUGCCCCAACUCUCGACACGCCCAGGAAAUCAGUCCUGAAUAUUCAUUGGAAGGUCUGACGCAGAAGCUGAAGUUUCAAUACUUUGGCUACCUGAUUCGAAGAGCUGACUCUUUUGAGAAGACCCUGAUGCUGGGAAAGAUUGAAGGCGGGAGGAGAAGGGGACGACAGAGGAUGAAUUGGUUGGAAGGCAUCACCAACUUGAUGGGACAUGAGUUUGAACAAGCUCUGGGAGUUGGUGAUGGACAUGGAAGCCUGGCGUGCUGUAGUCCAUGGGGUCACAAAGAGUCAGAUAUGACUGAGCGACUGAACUGAACUGAACUGCCUCAUUUAAAACCAUAAGAGUGAGUCAGUGUUACCCAAGCUCACCCAACAGGUGGUAGAGUGAUGGGCCUUUGAAUUAUGCUUAGGGUGGAGCCUGCCUGGGGUUAAGUCUGGAACAAUGAACUCUGCUGUGUGAAAAACAAAUUACUAAAAAACAUAUUUUGAAAAAUAAAUAAUUAAAAAAUUGCCCAAUUUCAGUUUUGAAAGAUAUGUGUGAGAGAAUUUGUAUUGAGUUGUGCCAUGAUUUUCCUCCCUCCAGAACCUCUUUUGUUAUGCAGAAGCUUCUCUGAAGGUGAGCAGCUUGAUCUGCACUAAUGUGACAGUACAUGUCC
Long non-coding RNA from Bos taurus (domestic cattle), 881 nucleotides. Lineage: Eukaryota; Metazoa; Chordata; Mammalia; Artiodactyla; Bovidae. The record is from Ensembl.